This 779-nucleotide long non-coding RNA is filed under the name Homo sapiens (human). Its description in RNAcentral is "non-protein coding lnc-HNRNPA3-4:2". The record is from RNAcentral. Lineage: Eukaryota; Metazoa; Chordata; Mammalia; Primates; Hominidae.
CCAACAUUCCUGGGUUCCAGUGAGGGUCCUCUUCUGGGUUGCAGACUGCUGACUUCUUAUUGUCUUCAUGUCACUGCUAUGCUGGUAGCUCUUAUUUUAAAUGUAUUAUGACUUCUAAAUGCUUUUCUGCCAUGCUUACAUAGAGCCAACCCAGCUACAUCUCAUAUUUGGCAAGUUUAAUGAGUUUCCUCUCCUAUCUCUCUCUUCCAUCAUUAACAUUGUUCUUGAGAUGUUCAAGCAGGCGUGAGCUCAGCCCAACACUCAUAAACCUUGUCCUCUUCUGCCUUUUGGGUCAUGCUGACCUGGUCUUGGGGUAACUACUCUGUGGUCACAUCCUGUUUGCUAGUUGAGCACCCAUCUAAUGGUGUCUUUGCCUCUAUAGCAUUUCCUCCAGAUUACUGAUGACUACAGCACAUGGGAAAGCACCAAAAGCCAGGGUACAAGGCAACCAGAGUGUAUCAGCUGCUUCCCUUCAAUUCACCAGGCCGACCCUAAAGUCCUAAGUCCAGACUAGCCAUGAACUAUUUUCUCACUGUUACCCUAGUCUCCUUAAAACUGUUCUCAAAACUAUUUUUCUACUACUUUGCUGAGUUUAGAAUAAAUACCACCUUGCAUUUGCUAGGUCUUUGAGUUCUGAUUGUGGCAAUUAGCUUUAGCAUCCUCUUUUAUGUCCUCUUAUAAAAACGAUCCACCACCUAGUCCAUAUCUCAAUUUCAUCUUCAAUAUGGCUCCAGACUCCUCCUUCCCUUUGUCUCUCCUUGUUCCAGGUUGCAGUCCUA